This 323-nucleotide unclassified non-coding RNA is filed under the name Hevea brasiliensis (rubber tree). Lineage: Eukaryota; Viridiplantae; Streptophyta; Magnoliopsida; Malpighiales; Euphorbiaceae. The record is from RNAcentral.
GGAUUUAAUCUCCCACCAGGGAUUAGCAUCUAGCUUAGUUAAAACUUCAAAUAAAAUUGUGGAAUCUAUUUCCAGGAUAAUAGAUAUAAAAUCCCUUGAAACAACAUAAUUCAUUGCUAAAAGAGUAACCAUUGCUUCUCCUGCUAAUGGGAAUGAAGCUCGAAUACGAGAAACCGUGCCAUCCAUAAGUUUUCCCCGAUGAUCUCAAACCAUCACUGCCGCUACUGCUCAAGAUUUGUGAUCGAACCAACUAACAUUUGUAUUGAACUUGAAAAAGUUACGAGGAGGUAGCCUCCAAGAAGUAAAACCCAAAAUAGGAGAUA